This 2401-nucleotide long non-coding RNA is filed under the name Helianthus annuus (common sunflower). RNAcentral's name for it is "hypothetical non coding rna". The record is from RNAcentral. Lineage: Eukaryota; Viridiplantae; Streptophyta; Magnoliopsida; Asterales; Asteraceae.
GGGUGGCUUGCAAAUUUCCUCUGAAGUUUGCACACCUAAGUUUAAGCACCGAAUUCAUACUCAACUGCUUGACACGAUAAGCUAUGGGGCCAAGUGAUAAUAAAUUCAAUGCGGACUCAUGUUUUUGUUAUCUUGUUGAGAUGUACGGAAUUGACAAGUGAAAAUUACGUAUAACAUCCUCUCAACAGCUUGUCUUCGUCAAAUGAUAGGCUAAUACGUGGCAUCUCUUCUUCACUAGAGGCAACUUGCUUUAGUGGUAAGUUCUUUUAAUCUUCAUCAGAUGGUAACUUGACAUCAAAGGCAAGUUCCAUUAAUUCUUUAUUGGUUAUAAGUUCCAAUCAGAGGUGCGUAACUUAGCCCACGAAUGCCAAGUGCCAUCAGACGCAAUGUGUAACCGCUCCAAGGGUUCCUUGAAAUUAACAGCCUAAAAAACAACAAAUAAAUAUUUAGUUAAAAAAUCCAGCCGUUUUUUACAAGCAGGCGGAAUUAACUGAAACUGCUAAAAUUGGGGAAAACCUUGGCUUCAAAUUUGGAGCUCUAGAUGACGAAAUUGGGUGCCGAGAUUUGGGAAAACCCGCCUAUAGCAUUUGUCCAUGUGUGUGGCUCGUCGAGACGCGUAUGUCCAAUACUUAUCCCCCAUAUAACUUCAUACGUACUGAAAGUUAAUCCUUUUUUAGCAUGAACCAUUUUCCAAUCCACUUCCGUGUGUCUAAUUGCACCAAAUACGAGUAUGCUAGAUCAUGGAUCAACUCUGUAUCACCAUCAAUGUGAAGAUAACGCAUUUGCACUUUUGUUUUCAUUCACCUUGAAAAUGAAAUAACUUAACUAAAUAGAAGUAAAGAUCUUCCUUCAUCUGCAGCACAUACACAAAUUCUUGAGCCAAACAAAUUCUUUGUCCCUCUUGUGUUUCUUCAUCAAAAUAGUAAAUAAUGUCAAAACUUUUGCUUUGGUCAUAUGACAUAACUUGAAGGUUGACUGACAUAAAAUUUUACAAAUCAAUGGUUCAGUUACAUGAUCUGAACGAAAAAGGAAUGAUCAAUAUGGGUUGUAUUUUUACUAACCUGCAAAGCUGUAAACUUAAAGAUGCUUUGUGGAUGAAAGCAACAAUGUGAUGAAACCAUCUUUCUGGUUCGAAUGCAUCAAACUUGACCCUCCCUAUUGCAUAGGGGCUCAUAAGGUAUGGUAAUCUCCUUUCUUCACGAAUAUAUCUAUAUGCCAUAUACAAGGUUUUAAUGUAAAAGAGUGUACAUUACAAUUAUUCAGAUAAAAUCCCAAGCUGCCUAUCUAUAUAAGGGAUUUUUUUAUUUAUUUAUGAUGAACAAAAUAAUAUUCGAAAAAUAAGAAUUAUAUACAUCUCAUCCAGGCUUAUCAAAACUCUUUUAGGUAAAAUCUUAGAAAUUGAUAACUGUAAUUUACUUAAUUAAAAUCAAUUAUGGUAUGUUUACUACAGAUUAGAGACGUACAUAAAAACGGGUUUAACCAAACCUGGCCAAACCGAGCAGGUUUUGCUUAAAAAAAAAAGAAAGAAACAGAUGAACACUAUGAAAUAGUUUAAGUUGGACUCAAUAACCUUCCUUAAAUGUAAACCAGUUGGGCUUCCAACAUUAAAACAGUACUGGGCCAGGCCCAAACUAGAAAGAAACCAGGAGCCCAAAACUUUUGAAAAUUAAUAAUUAGAGGUUUGACGAUGUUAAUUGUUAACCUGAGGGGUGUGAGCAGUGGUGGUUAUAUCAUGAAUACCAAUAAUCAAAACCAGCUUGUUAUAUGAUAAUGGGAUGGUCAAAUGUUGUAGACUAAAAGGAACUUACACUUAUGUCAUUGAUGCUUUGAUUGUUAUUUGCUGAUUUAGUCGUCAUAUGCCCGAGAUUUACACCAUUUUCCUGAAGAUUACACGGCCAAAGUCUCUCAUUCAACUGUGAAUGUUCCAACAUCACCCAGAAUAUCCUUUACAAUGUCAUGGUUAGAGGAACCUGCAAAACAUAGUUGUAUCAUACAUGAUAUUUGAUUCGAUUGUCCAACUAAAUUGACACUUCUGAUCUAAGAUAAUGAGAAAAAUGCUUCAUUUACGUGUUUUACAAAAUGCCAUAUUUUGAAUGGAAUUCCUAAAAAUGCGUCAUUGAAGUAACUCAAUUCAUGAAUUAUUGAACACACUCAAUUCAAGAAAAAAAAGCACAUAUCCAUUCAGCCCCCUCUGAUUUGAACAGAUUAUUGAAUUAAUCAAACCAAAAGUCAAGGUGAUAUAAAUAAGGGAUGUUGGCCUCUAAUAAUCUCUACUAGACGUCAUUGGCCAUUAACAUUUAAGAAUUAUAUGCAUCCUAUCUAGGUUUAUGAAAAUCCUUAUAAGUAAAAUUUUAGAAUUUGGCAAUUGUUAUUUACUUAAUUUAAAUCAAAUAUAGUAGAU